Unclassified non-coding RNA from Megachile rotundata (alfalfa leafcutting bee), 1662 nucleotides. NCBI's taxonomy places the organism in Eukaryota, Metazoa, Arthropoda, Insecta, Hymenoptera, Megachilidae. The record is from RefSeq and is a predicted model, not a curated record.
CACAACAUCUAUUCAAAAAGUUGCGAGCAUUUAAUGACGAAAAUCAUGUACUUGUAGUAUAAAACGACGAGCAUUCGAAAUAUCUUUGUAGGAAAUUAAUUCUACUUUUUGUAUCGUACAGUCAAAUAACAUUAUUUCCAUUAAACAUGGAUAAAAGAAAAAUGUCGACAGCAGGGGAUUCCCUGUACCAAAUAUUAGAAAUUCCAAAAACUGCCACUCCCGAAGAAAUAAAAAAAACUUACAGAAAAUUAGCAUUAAAAUAUCAUCCUGACAAAAAUCCAAAUAAUCCAGAAGCAACAGAAAAGUUUAAAGAAAUAAACAGAGCCCAUGCUAUAUUAACAGAUUUAACUAAACGAAAUAUAUACGACAAUUAUGGAUCUCUUGGAUUAUACGUUGCUGAACAAUUUGGUGAAGACAAUGUUAAUGCAUACUGUAUUAAUUGCCGUUGGUUCAAUGCACUCUUCCUGUUUUGUGCAUUGAUAACUGCAUGUUACUGCUGUUGCUGUUGCUGUUGUUGCUGCAACUUCUGUUGUGGCAAGUGUAAGCCUACACCGCCUGAAGAUAGUGGAGCGUACCAUAAUUUACAGUUGAUGCAUGCCGAUUUUGAAGAUGCUUUAACACGUAGAUCUCGAGAAAAAAAGCGGAACCAGAGGACAGGUGACAAUGUCGUGACAACACAACCCACAGCCCCGGCCAAGGAAGAAGAAAGUGAUGACGAUGCGAUUACAGCGCAACCUGGUGGACCUACAAAUAGUUCUACCGCCCAGCAACCAAUUUUUGCUAUGCCACCACCACCCACUACCGCCGACGAAAACACAAACUUAAACAGUGGUGCUGACAGAGUUAUUUACACAACUGGAAACAUAGAAAAGGACAAUAACUUUGUUCAUAAAAAAUGAACAGUUAGUCGAUGUGCUAACAUUCAUAUAGGAAACUGAAGUGUUACAAUGCUAUGCAUAGCACUUGAUUUGGUGUAUGUGUGCCAUUUUUAUGCACAAUCCCAAAUUACUGUCAUCGAAAUUGUAGAUGCCAGAUAUAAGACAAAAUGGCGUCGUAUAAAAACUUCAUAUAAAAUUAAAUUACUUUUUACAAAAGUAAUUAUUUAUUAUUAUUAUGCGAUUUUAUUUGAUCAAUAUUACACGCAUCUAGGUCCAUUUUAUUAUAUUAGGUCGAGUCAUAAGUAACUUCCGAUGCAGCUAAAUAGAUUUUAUAUUGUGUAUUAUGGUGAGAUUAUGAAGGUAUAAGUCACCACGAGUUGUUGAAGUCAAAUUUAACGAUUACUGCGGAUAAAUACAUUCAGCAAUUGCAAAGAGUGCAAGAGAAACUCCUAGAAAAGCGCCCUGCACUCGUCAAUCGCAGAAAUAUCAUUCUUUUACACGACAACGCGCGACCGCAUACAGCAAGGGUGACUCAAGAAAAAAUUCUUGAGCUUGGAUGGUCUGGUUUACCACAUCCACCUUACUCCUCAGAUCUUGCCCCGACAGACUACCACCUUUUCUGUUCCUUACAAAACUUUUUAAAUGGAAAAACCUUCAAUUCUGAAGAGCAAGUCAGGCAGGCUGUUGAAAGCUUCUUCCAGUCCAAACCAACCACAUUUUACAAGGAAGGAAUUGAUAAACUACCAGGAAAAUGGGAGAAGGUUAUAGAAAAUAGUGGCGAAUA